RNAcentral lists this ribosomal RNA (253 nucleotides) under uncultured bacterium. RNAcentral describes it as "partial 16S ribosomal RNA". It matches the Rfam family "Bacterial small subunit ribosomal RNA", at positions 524 to 776 of the family's 1533-position model. The record is from RNAcentral.
UACGUAGGGGGCUAGCGUUGUCCGGAAUCAUUGGGCGUAAAGAGCGUGUAGGCGGUCCGGUAAGUCCGCUGUGAAAGUCGGGGGCUCAACCCUCGAAUGCCGGUGGAUACUGUCGGGCUAGAGUGCGGAAGAGGCGAGUGGAAUUCCUGGUGUAGUGGCGAAAUGCGUAGAUAUUGGGAGGAACACCAGUGGCGAAGGCGGCUACCUGGACCGGUUCUGACGCUGAGGCGCGAAAGCGUGGGUAGCAAACAGG